ACAUUUGUUCUAGGCAGACUGACAACCGCCAGAUCUGGAGACCUAUUUCCCUGUGAAAGUUGAAUUUCAGAGAUUGUCCACUACUGGUAUUCUUCCAGAAAGGAAAGUCAUUAUACAUGUUUCCAAAGAUACCCUUCUGAAGCCAAAAACGUAAGAUUGUGGAGCAGUGACUAAAAACAAAUAUUGGAGAUAGACUGGCUGAGGAACCCAACCUACAGAGAAGAAUAAGACCUGAGGCACCUGAACUACAACUCCCAUGAGUCAUUGCAGCAGCAUUUCAAAAUGGUUUUUUUUUCUUCGUUUGGCCUGAAAGCAGAUACUUGGAAAGUUUUGUUUAAUCAAAAACCUACUAUUCCUUUGAAAAAAAAGUUUUGAUGAAAAAUUUUCAGCCAGCUCCAGGAAUUAAUACACUGUAGACUAUUUUUUCCAGUUUUAAUUUUCUAUUAUGUGUAUUGUGAAUCUACUGUUCUCUCAAUGAGUAUAUGAACACAAAGGUCGCAUCUGAACUUCCCUAAGCUCAGAGGCAUUUUGAUCUAGGCCAGACUUUGUUUAGUAAUGAGUGAAAUUAUGUGCACUUAACAAGAAGAGAACAUAUCCCUUAGCUUGAAUUAAUAUCUAACGUGCAUCCUAUUUACUAGGGUUAAUAUGAAACUAGACAAAACUAUUUCAAAAUAUAACUAUGCAAAUGAUUCAUUCAGACUGAUCUGUGGGAGGUUAGAAUGAAAUUCCUCUGCUCACAGUGAGCUCAGCUCACCAG
Long non-coding RNA from Chelonoidis abingdonii (Abingdon island giant tortoise), 757 nucleotides. RefSeq lists it as uncharacterized. Lineage: Eukaryota; Metazoa; Chordata; Testudines; Testudinidae. The record is from RefSeq and is a predicted model, not a curated record.